RNAcentral lists this small nuclear RNA (108 nucleotides) under Sus scrofa (pig). The record is from RNAcentral. Lineage: Eukaryota; Metazoa; Chordata; Mammalia; Artiodactyla; Suidae.
GUGCUUGCUUCAGCAGCACAUAUACUAAAAAUUGGAAUGAUACAGAGAACAUUAGCAUGGCCCCUGUGCAAGGAUGACACGCAAAUUCGUGAAGUGUUCCAUGUUUUA